AUAGAACAAAAAAAUAAAGAAAAGAAUACCAAACACAAACAGAUAAAACAAACUCAAAUCAAAACUCGGCGGGGCUUAUUUUAUUGCUUGUUGUUCUCUGUCUGUGAGACACACACCGUUCGCCUCUCUUUUCUCCCCUCUCUCUCGUCCAA
Molecule: non-coding RNA, 152 nt
Filed under: Platyophrya macrostoma
Lineage: Eukaryota; Ciliophora; Colpodea; Cyrtolophosidida; Platyophryidae
Source: RNAcentral